AGCGAACGCUGGCGGCAGGCUUAACACAUGCAAGUCGAACGGGCGUAGCAAUACGUCAGUGGCAGACGGGUGAGUAACGCGUGGGAACGUGCCUUUUGGUUCGGAACAACUGAGGGAAACUUCAGCUAAUACCGGAUAAGCCCUUACGGGGAAAGAUUAUCGCCAAAGAUCGGCCCGCGUCUGAUUAGCUUGUUGGUGAGGUAAUGGCUCACCAAGGCGACGAUCAGUAGCGGUCUGAGAGGAUGAUCAGCCACCACUGGGACUGAGACACGGCCCAAACUACCUACGGGAGGCAGCAGUGGGGAAGUAUUGGACAAUGGGCGGCAAGCCUGAUCCAGCCAUGCCGCGUGAGUGAUGAAGG
This 361-nucleotide ribosomal RNA is filed under the name uncultured bacterium. Its description in RNAcentral is "bacterial SSU rRNA". It matches the Rfam family "Bacterial small subunit ribosomal RNA", at positions 29 to 414 of the family's 1533-position model. The record is from RNAcentral.